RNAcentral lists this ribosomal RNA (253 nucleotides) under uncultured bacterium. Its description in RNAcentral is "partial 16S ribosomal RNA". It matches the Rfam family "Bacterial small subunit ribosomal RNA", at positions 524 to 776 of the family's 1533-position model. The record is from RNAcentral.
AACGUAGGUGGCGAGCGUUAUCCGGAUUUACUGGGCGUAAAGCGUGUGCAGGCGGGGCCUCAAGUGGUGUAUGAAAUCGCUCGGCUUAACCGGGCGCGGUUAUGCCAGACUGAGGUUCUGGAGUGCGGGAGAGGGGCGUGGAAUUCCGGGAGUAGUGGUGAAAUGCGUAGAGAUCCGGAGGAACCCCAGAGGCGAAGGCGGCGCCCUGGCCCGACACUGACGCUCAGACACGACAGCAUGGGGAGCGAACGGG